AUUGAACGCUGGCGGCAGGCCUAACACAUGCAAGUCGAGCGAGCGGCGGACGGGUGAGUAAUGUAUGGGGACUGCCCGAUAGAGGGGGAUCACUACUGGAAACGGUGGCUAAUACCGCAUACUAUCGGCUAACCCAUAUGGGAUUAGCUAGUAGGUGGGGUAAAGGCUCACCUAGGCGCCGAUCUCUAGCUGGUCUGAGAGGAUGAUCAGGCAAACUGGGACUGAGACACGGCCCAGAGUCCGACGGAGGCAGCAGUGGGGAAGAUUGGAGAAGGGGCGCAAGCCGGAUGCAGCGACGCCGCGGGGGGGAUGAAGGCUGUCGGGUUGUAAAACUCUUUCGCUAUGGAACGGGUAGGUGGAGAAGAAGCGCCGGCUAACUACGUGCCAGCAGCCGCGGUAAUAC
This 403-nucleotide ribosomal RNA is filed under the name uncultured bacterium. Its description in RNAcentral is "partial 16S ribosomal RNA". It matches the Rfam family "Bacterial small subunit ribosomal RNA", at positions 29 to 526 of the family's 1533-position model. The record is from RNAcentral.